UACAAAAAUGCAGGAGCCUCCUUGAGAAA
This 29-nucleotide non-coding RNA is filed under the name Mus musculus (house mouse). Lineage: Eukaryota; Metazoa; Chordata; Mammalia; Rodentia; Muridae. The record is from RNAcentral.